RNAcentral lists this ribosomal RNA (935 nucleotides) under Escherichia coli. RNAcentral describes it as "partial 23S ribosomal RNA". It matches the Rfam family "Bacterial large subunit ribosomal RNA", at positions 331 to 1268 of the family's 2925-position model. The record is from RNAcentral. Lineage: Bacteria; Pseudomonadati; Pseudomonadota; Gammaproteobacteria; Enterobacterales; Enterobacteriaceae.
AGUGGAAGCGUCUGGAAAGGCGCGCGAUACAGGGUGACAGCCCCGUACACAAAAAUGCACAUGCUGUGAGCUCGAUGAGUAGGGCGGGACACGUGGUAUCCUGUCUGAAUAUGGGGGGACCAUCCUCCAAGGCUAAAUACUCCUGACUGACCGAUAGUGAACCAGUACCGUGAGGGAAAGGCGAAAAGAACCCCGGCGAGGGGAGUGAAAAAGAACCUGAAACCGUGUACGUACAAGCAGUGGGAGCACGCUUAGGCGUGUGACUGCGUACCUUUUGUAUAAUGGGUCAGCGACUUAUAUUCUGUAGCAAGGUUAACCGAAUAGGGGAGCCGAAGGGAAACCGAGUCUUAACUGGGCGUUAAGUUGCAGGGUAUAGACCCGAAACCCGGUGAUCUAGCCAUGGGCAGGUUGAAGGUUGGGUAACACUAACUGGAGGACCGAACCGACUAAUGUUGAAAAAUUAGCGGAUGACUUGUGGCUGGGGGUGAAAGGCCAAUCAAACCGGGAGAUAGCUGGUUCUCCCCGAAAGCUAUUUAGGUAGCGCCUCGUGAAUUCAUCUCCGGGGGUAGAGCACUGUUUCGGCAAGGGGGUCAUCCCGACUUACCAACCCGAUGCAAACUGCGAAUACCGGAGAAUGUUAUCACGGGAGACACACGGCGGGUGCUAACGUCCGUCGUGAAGAGGGAAACAACCCAGACCGCCAGCUAAGGUCCCAAAGUCAUGGUUAAGUGGGAAACGAUGUGGGAAGGCCCAGACAGCCAGGAUGUUGGCUUAGAAGCAGCCAUCAUUUAAAGAAAGCGUAAUAGCUCACUGGUCGAGUCGGCCUGCGCGGAAGAUGUAACGGGGCUAAACCAUGCACCGAAGCUGCGGCAGCGACGCUGAUGCGUUGUUGGGUAGGGGAGCGUUCUGUAAGCCUGCGAAGGUGUGCUGUGAGG